RNAcentral lists this ribosomal RNA (604 nucleotides) under uncultured Actinomycetes bacterium. Its description in RNAcentral is "bacterial SSU rRNA". It matches the Rfam family "Bacterial small subunit ribosomal RNA", at positions 252 to 866 of the family's 1533-position model. The record is from RNAcentral. Lineage: Bacteria; Bacillati; Actinomycetota; Actinomycetes.
GUGGGGUAAUGGCUCACCAAGGCGACGACGGGUAGCCGGCCUGAGAGGGUGACCGGCCACACUGGGGCUGAGACACGGCCCAGACUCCUACGGGAGGCAGCAGUGGGGAAUAUUGCACAAUGGGCGGAAGCCUGAUGCAGCGACGCCGCGUGAGGGAUGACGGCCUUCGGGUUGUAAACCUCUUUCAGUAGGGAAGAAGCGAGAGUGACGGUACCUGCAGAAGAAGCGCCGGCUAACUACGUGCCAGCAGCCGCGGUAAUACGUAGGGCGCAAGCGUUGUCCGGAAUUAUUGGGCGUAAAGAGCUCGUAGGCGGUUUGUCGCGUCUGCUGUGAAAGCCCGGGGCUCAACCCCGGGUCUGCAGUGGGUACGGGCAGACUAGAGCGCAGUAGGGGAGACUGGAAUUCCUGGUGUAGCGGUGAAAUGCGCAGAUAUCAGGAGGAACACCGAUGGCGAAGGCAGGUCUCUGGGCUGUUACUGACGCUGAGGAGCGAAAGCAUGGGGAGCGAACAGGAUUAGAUACCCUGGUAGUCCAUGCCGUAAACGUUGGGCACUAGGUGUGGGGGACAUUCCACGUUCUCCGCGCCGUAGCUAACGCAUUAAGUG